Molecule: ribosomal RNA, 550 nt
Filed under: Bacillus sp. m-1
Lineage: Bacteria; Bacillati; Bacillota; Bacilli; Caryophanales; Bacillaceae
Description: bacterial SSU rRNA
Rfam family: Bacterial small subunit ribosomal RNA
Source: RNAcentral
GGCUUCGGCUACCACUUACAGAUGGACCCGCGGCGCAUUAGCUAGUUGGUGAGGUAACGGCUCACCAAGGCAACGAUGCGUAGCCGACCUGAGAGGGUGAUCGGCCACACUGGGACUGAGACACGGCCCAGACUCCUACGGGAGGCAGCAGUAGGGAAUCUUCCGCAAUGGACGAAAGUCUGACGGAGCAACGCCGCGUGAGUGAUGAAGGUUUUCGGAUCGUAAAGCUCUGUUGUUAGGGAAGAACAAGUACCGUUCGAAUAGGGCGGUACCUUGACGGUACCUAACCAGAAAGCCACGGCUAACUACGUGCCAGCAGCCGCGGUAAUACGUAGGUGGCAAGCGUUGUCCGGAAUUAUUGGGCGUAAAGGGCUCGCAGGCGGUUUCUUAAGUCUGAUGUGAAAGCCCCCGGCUCAACCGGGGAGGGUCAUUGGAAACUGGGGAACUUGAGUGCAGAAGAGGAGAGUGGAAUUCCACGUGUAGCGGUGAAAUGCGUAGAGAUGUGGAGGAACACCAGUGGCGAAGGCGACUCUCUGGUCUGUAACUGACG